This 705-nucleotide long non-coding RNA is filed under the name Gossypium barbadense (sea-island cotton). RNAcentral's name for it is "long non-coding RNA (GBAR_LNC023490)". The record is from RNAcentral. Lineage: Eukaryota; Viridiplantae; Streptophyta; Magnoliopsida; Malvales; Malvaceae.
UCCAUUAAUUCCUUUACCUUCUUUCAAUCUUAAUCUAAAUUUGCUUUAAUUUAGGGAAAACAAUUAUUUUUUAUGGCCGAUCAUCAGUUCCACUUAUUUUGCAGGUAAUAUUCCAAUCUUAUUCUUUCUGGAAAAAGAAAAAAAGUCAACUUUUUUUUCCAUGUUGCUUUUUAAUUUGAGAUUGGUUUUAUGGUUAAAGUGAAAAGGAAAGGAAGAUUUAGUUUUCACGGAAAAAAGUGUGGAUUCGGUGCAGUUCAGUAGACUGUGAUCGGAUCCACCGCAGGUAAUGGCUUUCUUAAUUGUUUUUUUUUUCAAAAUUAAUUCUUGCUUGGUUGCCGAGAAAACUAUGGAAAUGAAUUUUGAAAUGAGGCCGUUUCUGGUUUUGAUAAAAUAACGAAUUCAAUUUCAGAAUGUGUUAUUUGCAAACUUUUAUCAAAUUGAAAGAAGAUUUUAGAAUAACUUGAACUCAAUUAGCUUAAUUGUUGAAUUGGAAGGAACUUUACUAUCUUGAAUUCGUGUUGAUGAUUUUACUUCAUUUUCUUAAUAGUUUCUUUUUUUUAUCUUUGCAUAAAGGUUCAUGUUCUGUUGUGAUUGGAAUCAAUAGGAGUUCAAUUUGUAAUGCAAUCUGUUGACGAGAGUAAGGAAAAGAAGACGAAUUUGAAACGAUCAAGAUCACUAUCCCUGCACGAUAUGCCCGUGACUGAC